This 720-nucleotide long non-coding RNA is filed under the name Homo sapiens (human). RNAcentral's name for it is "non-protein coding lnc-PSMC3IP-3:9". Lineage: Eukaryota; Metazoa; Chordata; Mammalia; Primates; Hominidae. The record is from RNAcentral.
GCUGAUCCCGAAGGCUCUGGGAGUGGGUGAAGCCUUGAUGCCGAUCGGACCCCCGCUGGGACCGGGCGGAGAAAGGCAAGGCAGGUUUCAAAGCCCAUUUCACAGAUUCCCUUCUGGCCUGAUGAGGAGAGAUUAGUUUCAGCCAGGCCACCCAAGAGGCAUCGGCAAAGCCAGAACUAACACCCAGAUUUCCUUCAUUCCAGGGACAGAGGUGGGGAAUCACAGGGCUGCGCUGUAUUAGCCCUCCUAGUACCCUCUCAGUCCGAGGAUUCUCACAUGGGAGGCUACUGGACAGGUCUGUCCACGUACCCAUUUCACAGAUGGAAAAACUGAGGCCUUGUGUGUACCUGGCUGCUGUAGGAGGCUCUCGCACCACCCAGAUCCUCUGAUGCGCUUGUUUGCGGGGUCUCUGUGGACAGGAGAAAAAGGCAAAGGCUGAUUGGGCGCGGUGGCUCACGCCUGUAAUCCCAGCACUUUGGGAUGCCGAGGUGGGCAGAGCAUCUGAGGUCGGGAGUUCGAGACCAACCUGACCAAUAUGGAGAAACCUUGUCUCUACUAAAAAUACAAAAUUAGACGAGCGUGGUGGCGCAUGGCUGUAAUCCCAGCUACUCAGGAGGCUGAGGCAGGAGAAUCGCCUGAACCCGUGGGCGGAGGUCGCGGUGAGCCAAGAUUGUGCCAUUGCACUCCAACCUGGGCAACAAGAGCGAAACUCCCGGCCGG